This 497-nucleotide ribosomal RNA is filed under the name uncultured bacterium. RNAcentral's name for it is "partial 16S ribosomal RNA". It matches the Rfam family "Bacterial small subunit ribosomal RNA", at positions 28 to 507 of the family's 1533-position model. The record is from RNAcentral.
GAUGAACGCUGGCGGCGUGCCUAAUACAUGCAAGUCGAGCGAACGGACGAGAAGCUUGCUUCUCUGAUGUUAGCGACGGACGGGUGAGUAACACGUGGAUAACCGACCGAUAAGACUGAGGUAAGUUCGGGAAACCUGAUCUAAUAUCGGAUGAUAGUUUGAACGGCAUGGUUCAUAAGACAAAAACGUUUUUGCUGUCACUUGUAGGUGUAACCUCGUUGCAUUAGCUAGUUGGUAAGGUAACGGCUUACCAAGGCAACGAUGCAUAGCCGACCUGAGAGGGUGAUCGGCCACACUGGAACUGAGACACGGUCCAGACUCCUACGGGAGGCAGCAGUAGGGAAUAUUGGGCAAUGGGCGAAAGCCUGAUGGAGCCACGCCGCGUGAGUGAUGAAGGUCUUCGGAUUGUAAAACUCUGUUAUUAGGGAAGAACAUAUGUGUAAGUAAAUGUGCACAUCUUGACGGUACCUAAUCAGAAAGCAACGGCUAACUACGUG